Molecule: ribosomal RNA, 1149 nt
Filed under: Triticum aestivum (bread wheat)
Lineage: Eukaryota; Viridiplantae; Streptophyta; Magnoliopsida; Poales; Poaceae
Description: partial small subunit ribosomal RNA
Source: RNAcentral
AUGAUGGACCCUUCGGGGUUGUUGCCUGCCUCAUCAAGCCAGCUGCCAGAUGAUCUGCUCAUCGAGAUAUUUCUCUGCCUCCCAGCACACCCCACCUGCCUGAUUCGCACGUCCCUAGUCUGCAAGCGAUGGCACUGCCUCAUCAAAAACCGCCAAUUCGUCAGCCGCUUUCGCAUGCUUCAUCAGAAACUCCCUGUGCUUUGCUUCUUCAGCAACUCCACUAGCAUCCCCCGUUUUAUCCCCACAGGGGACCCUCCUAAUUGUGUCUCAACGGCAGCCUUCUCCCUACCUGACCCCUGCUGGCAGGUCCUUGGCUGCCGCCACAGCCUUGUCCUCCUCGUUAGCUCAACUUGGACUCAGCUCCAGGUAUGGAACCCCAUGACUGGCAACAGGCAAUAUGUACCGGCUACUCCGGAUGCUGAUCGGCGUUUUAAUCAUGGCAUUGUUCCUGAGAGCCAAGCUACAGUGCUUUGUGCAGCUGGCCACAAGGACAGUGGUGACUGCCACUCUUGCCCUUUUCUCGUAGUGUGGGUAUUCACUUGCACACGCUAUGCCUAUGCCUGUAGAUACUCGUCAGAGAGUAGCAGCUGGCACCAGAUGGUUUCUUCACCAACACCAUCUGAUAUUGAUUCAAGGCCUAGUGUCCUUGUUGGGAACAUCUUGUACUGGCCGCUGAAGUCAAAAUAUAUCCUUGCCUUUGAGUUGGAUACGCGUAAAUUAUACCAUAUUGAGUGUCCAGAAGAUACACAUAGUGUGUACAGAAGGAAUGUCCACAUCAUGAAGGCAGAGGACGGUGGGCUAGGCCUUGCUGCCUUGACGGAGUUCAACCUUCGCCUAUGGGCUUGGGAGACAGGUCCGGAGGGUGUUAUGGAAUGGGUGCUGCGCAGGACCAUUCAGUUGGAUGCAUUCCUUCCACCGAAUGUGUCAUCAGUGCCGUUGGUAAAUAAUCAUUCUGCCAGUGGGCGUCCGGUCAGGAUAUUGGGUCUCAUUGAGGACGAUGAUAUGUUUUUUAUGUGGACGAGAGAGGGUGUCUUUGCAGUGGAGCUCAAGUCAAUGUGGUGCAACAAAGUUUUUGAGGCUCAAGUCCCUGCAACUAUCUUCCCCUACACUGGCUUUUAUACCACAGGUGAUGUGGACGGUGCACGGUGA